Molecule: long non-coding RNA, 706 nt
Filed under: Coffea arabica (coffee)
Lineage: Eukaryota; Viridiplantae; Streptophyta; Magnoliopsida; Gentianales; Rubiaceae
Description: long non-coding RNA (CARA_LNC007660)
Source: RNAcentral
UCAAACUCAAUCCACGGCUUUAGGCAGGCUCCUCGUAUUAUAAACUAGCAGCGCUGCUAUAAACUACUAGUCCAAAGAAAAGCGUAAAUGUGGCGCGCCACCACCAAGUCUAUGAAACAAUAAAGCAUCAAUGAUCAAUGGAGUCGACAGACAAAGGCAACCGGUUUUACCGGCCAAUGGCUGCUUCCUAUCUUUCUGCAGUCAAAUGGCAAUGGGCGGCCGGAGCGCUGUGGAACAUCCAACCUCUCUCUAUCCGUAUAUUAUUACUAUAAUUUAAAAGCUGUAAGUUUGUUCCACUGCCGCCAUUUGUAACCGACUCUAUCCUUUAUUUGGACGCUGCCGAUCGGCUUCAUGUAUGCGUCUAACGUAGUAUUUUCCAUUCCUCCUCCUUUUCCUUUUUUUGCCUUUUUUUUCUGCGUGAAUUUUCAUCCAUUUCUGUAUUUUCGCUAAUGUUGUAGCAUUAUAAUCCUAUCCCAAAAAAAAAAAACACGCAAGUAUAUACACUGCAUAGACUUCUUUUUUUUUUUUUUUUUUUUAAACUUUUCUACCAACCUUGGAUGAUACACUUCUGAUUUCAAUUCUUUUAAGAUACUUGCAAGGUUAUAUAUUUGCCGGGUGGUCGCCGCUUCCUCUUGUUGCCUCUGUGGCCAUCCCCAGCGGUGAGGCGGAGUAAGGAACGAUGCUCGACAAUGCAAGAUAUAGGGAG